Molecule: non-coding RNA, 435 nt
Organism: Chrysemys picta bellii (western painted turtle)
Lineage: Eukaryota; Metazoa; Chordata; Testudines; Emydidae
Source: RefSeq, a predicted model, not a curated record
GCGCAUGCGCACCCAGAGAAGGGCAGGGAAGAGGGGUCGAAUAUCUUCGUUGGGGGCUGGCGGGAUCGGGGGAAGUAGAAGUCGCAACGUUCUAGCUGCGUCACUAUGGAUACACUGCCACUUACUACCCUCUGCCUUUCCUCCACAAAACCCUUGGACACAGAUUAUUUAAAUGAAGACCAAAUCUUCAUGAAGGAAAGAAGAAAGAAAAUAACCAUAAAUACAGAAAAAAUAACAAUUUGUUUUUUGACUCCAUGGAUUUAGCAGGAAUGAGAUUAGGGUUUCUAACUUUCCAGGAUUGUCCUGGAGUUACCAAGAAUUAAAGUUUAAUCUUUAAUUAAAGAUUUUGUCAUGAUGAACCUCCAAAAGUACCCCCAAUCAGAAUUGGCAACCCUAAAUGAGAUAUUAACAAUAAAACAGUUUGUGUACUCCAGA